UGGGGAAUAUUGCACAAUGGGGGAAACCCUGAUGCAGCGACGCCGCGUGAAGGAAGAAGUAUCUCGGUAUGUAAACUUCUAUCAGCAGGGAAGGAAAUGACGGUACCUGACUAAGAAGCCCCGGCUAACUACGUGCCAGCAGCCGCGGUAAUACGUAGGGGGGCAAGCGUUAUCCGGAUUUACUGGGUGUAAAGGGAGCGUAGACGGAGCAGCAAGUCUGAUGUGAAAGGCGGGGGACUCAACCUGUGGACUGCAUUGGAAACUGUUGGUCUUGAGUACCGGAGGGGCUAAGCGGAAUUCCUAGUGUAGCGGUGAAAUGCGUAGAUAUUAGGAGGAACACCAGUGGCGAAGGCGGCUUACUGGACGGUAACUGACGUUGAGGCCCGAAAGCGUGGGGAGCAAACAGGAUUAGAUACC
This 417-nucleotide ribosomal RNA is filed under the name uncultured bacterium. RNAcentral's name for it is "bacterial SSU rRNA". It matches the Rfam family "Bacterial small subunit ribosomal RNA", at positions 355 to 786 of the family's 1533-position model. The record is from RNAcentral.